GGAAUCUUCCACAAUGGGACGCAAGUCUGAUGGAGCAACGCCGCGUGAGUGAAGAAGGUCUUCGGAUCGUAAAACUCUGUUGUUAGAGAAGAACACGAGUGAGAGUAACUGUUCAUUCGAUGACGGUAUCUAACCAGCAAGUCACGGCUAACUACGUGCCAG
This 162-nucleotide ribosomal RNA is filed under the name uncultured bacterium. Its description in RNAcentral is "partial 16S rRNA". It matches the Rfam family "Bacterial small subunit ribosomal RNA", at positions 358 to 511 of the family's 1533-position model. The record is from RNAcentral.